Molecule: ribosomal RNA, 478 nt
Filed under: uncultured bacterium
Lineage: Bacteria
Description: partial 16S ribosomal RNA
Rfam family: Bacterial small subunit ribosomal RNA
Source: RNAcentral
GAACGCUGGCGGCGUGCUUAACACAUGCAAGUCGAACGAAACACCUUAUUUGAUUUUCUUCGGAACUGAAGAUUUGGUGAUUGAGUGGCGGACGGGUGAGUAACGCGUGGGUAACCUGCCCUGUACAGGGGGAUAACAGUCAGAAAUGACUGCUAAUACCGCAUAAGACCACAGCACCGCAUGGUGCAGGGGUAAAAACUCCGGUGGUACAGGAUGGACCCGCGUCUGAUUAGCUGGUUGGUGAGGUAACGGCUCACCAAGGCGACGAUCAGUAGCCGGCUUGAGAGAGUGAACGGCCACAUUGGGACUGAGACACGGCCCAAACUCCUACGGGAGGCAGCAGUGGGGAAUAUUGCACAAUGGGGGAAACCCUGAUGCAGCGACGCCGCGUGAGUGAAGAAGUAUUUCGGUAUGUAAAGCUCUAUCAGCAGGGAAGAAAAUGACGGUACCUGACUAAGAAGCCCCGGCUAACUACGUG